Molecule: ribosomal RNA, 401 nt
Filed under: uncultured bacterium
Lineage: Bacteria
Description: bacterial SSU rRNA
Rfam family: Bacterial small subunit ribosomal RNA
Source: RNAcentral
GACGAACGCUGGCGGCGUGCUUAACACAUGCAAGUCGAGCGGUAAGGCCCUUUCGGGGGUACGACGAGCGGCGAACGGGUAGAGUAACACGUGGGUGACCUGCCCUCAGCUCUGGGAUAAGCCUGGGAAACCGGGUCUAAUACCGGAUAUGACUCCAUGACGCAUGUUGUGGGGUGGAAAGCCUUGUGCGGCUGAGGAUGGGCCCGCGGCCUAUCAGCUUGUUGGUGGGGUGAUGGCCUACCAAGGCGACGACGGGUAGCCGGCCUGAGAGGGCGACCGGCCACACUGGGACUGAGACACGGCCCAGACUCCUACGGGAGGCAGCAGUGGGGAAUCUUGCGCAAUGGGCGAAAGCCUGACGCAGCGACGCCGCGUGAGGGAUGACGGCCUGGUUGUAACGU